AUGCCUUGCGCGCCGCGGGCCCAGAGACGUGAGGCUGUCGGCGUCCUGGUGGCCCCGCCUCGUGUCCCCCCCCGGACCCCACGCCGCGGGAGCUUGGGGGUUGCGGUCUUCUCUUCCUCCGACCUCACCUUCGAUGCGGAAGCGCAGGGGCAGUUACAGACCACUGGAUGGUGAAGAAUUCCCAUGAACCCCUGGUUCACACUGUAAGGACACACUACUCAGCAUGGGCAACAUUUACAGACUACUGGAUGGUGAAGAAUUCCCAUGAACCCCUGGUUCACACUGUAAGGACAGACUACUCAGCAUGGGCAACAUUUACAGACCACUGGAUGAUGAAGAAUUCCCAUGAACUCCUGGUUCCAACUGUAAGGACACACUACUCAGCUGUAGCCUGAAGCCGCCUCCUUACAUACUGUAAGUUUAGCCUAUAGGUUUCUCCAUACGUAGUGAACAGUCAUCUAAUUGGAUGUGUGGACACUGUAACCUACUCUUGAAUCAGUCACAGGCAGCAGCACUUCAAACUCUGUUUCAAUAAGCCAGACACGAGCUGUAGCCACCCUGCUGUUUGCAGGCCUCACCUCUGCCUUCUGUGCCUCACUCCCUUUUCUGUCCGUAAGUCUUUGGCCACACAGUGGCACUGGAGUCUCUCUGAGCCUAUUCUGGUUUGAGGGGUUCCCUGAUUCCUGAAUCAUUCUUUGCUCAAUUAAACUCUGUAAAAUUUAAUGUUUCUAAAGUUUUCCUUUGAACACUACCAACAGCGCAAGCCCAGGGUGAUGUCGGGGCCUGCGAGAGAGAAAGUAGGGGGGCCAAGGGCUCCACACUCACUGUGUGAACAGGUUUGUCUCAAAGGUUGUUGAUAUGUAUCAGCAUUCCCUAUUUGAACCUGUUCCCACCAGCAGUAUGUGAACUUUGGUUUGAAAAAAUAAUUCUGUAAAAUGGGAAGAACCGUGUGUUAUGUAUGGACUUUGAAAUACAGACCUCGAUGGAACUGACAGACUGAUCUAGGUAGACAGAUGUAGACAUCCCUAGGUGAUUACAACUCCAACCUGGAUAGAUGCCAUGUAGUCUUCCAAUUAGAGAUGCUAUACAGCCAAUGAAACUUAACCAUGUCUUUAAUAGGUGUGCCACCUUUUGUUAAAAUCAGUUAUCUUACAAGUAUCAUGAGAAAAAACAUUAGUAUCAACAGAUUGAAACAUUUAUUGGGAAGAAAGUGAGGCCACAGUCAGGAAAAAUAGCAUAAGCCACAACCUCUUAGUCAAGAAUCUUAGAAACAGCUGUGUUUCGUGUGUUUCAGAACUCUGAAUUGUUCUGAUUUUAGGAAAGUGACGUGUGCAUAUUCCACUUGGGGCCUGGGGCAACACCCUCAUCAAACUGAUAUUCCUGCAGCAAAAUACAAGCAGGACGAAAAGGAUCAUGGGUCGUCUCGUGCCAAAUCAGGUUAGACUUUCCGCCAAAUGAAGUACACAAAACUUUCCAUGUUUAGGACUAUGAAUUUGGGCCAGGCACUGUGACUCAUGCCUGUAAUCCCAGCACUUUGAGAGGCUGAGACAGGUGGAUCACUUGAGCCCGGGAGUUCAAGACCAACCUGGGCAACAUAGUGAGACCUCAUUUCUACAAAAAAUUAGCUGAGUGUGGUGGUGUGCACCUGUCUGGAGUCCCAGCUACUCAGGAGGCUGAGGUGGGAGGAUCCAUUGAGCCUAGGAGGUCAAGGCUGCAGUGAGCUGUGAUUGCACCACUGUCCUCCAGUCUGAGCAACAGAGCGAGACCCUGUCUUAAAAAAAAUGGAUACUGGGGCCACAGAUAAGAGGUAUGGGACUGUAAUGCAGUCACCUUUACGUAGUGGCUCAGGGGAAAAGGAGGAAUCCCAGUCCCCAGAAUUCUAGUUUUAUCUACGUCACGGGUGGUUUUGGUGAAACCUGGAAGGAUUCUGUGGUCACUUUUCCUCACUGAUGUAUGUUUCCUCCAAACUCAACUGUGUCAUUUGAUUAGCAUGCAAGGGUCUGUGCUAGCAAGGCCAGAACAAAAGGAGGUUAAGGGGAAGGACAGCAGUUGUAGGAAUAGAAUAUGGCCUUGGGGAGUCCAAGAUCUCCUGGGCCUGGGUAUCUGUGUGUGAACAUCAUCUGCACGUAUGUGACUAUGCUUGGGGCCCUUUAACUGUUGCACAGGCCAACAUGUGGCCCCCAAGACCCUUAUCUGACACCUUAUGUGAAAACUCAGUGGAUUAAAGACUAAACAAGAAAUAAAGGUAUACAAUUUCUAGAAGAAAACGGGAAAAAUUUAUGACAUUGGAUUUAGCAGUGAUUUAUUGGAUAUGACACCAAAGACACGGGCAACAAAAGUAAAACUAAGACGACAUCAGGCUUAGAAACUUCUGUGCAUCGAAGGACACAAUCAACCUUUCCCUUCUGUGCAGGGAAAAGGUAACCUGUGGAAUGUGAGAAAAUAUCUGCAAAUCAUAUAUCUGAUAAGGGGUUAAUAUCUGGAAUAUAUAGACAACCACCACUCAACAGUAAAACAAGUCACCUCAUUUAAAAAUGAGCAAGGGACUUCAACAGACACUUCUCUGAAGAGGAUAUACAGUCAGCACUCUAUCGAUGGGUUUUGCAUCCCUGGAUGUAACCAGCCAGGGAUUGAAAAUAUUUUUAUUAAAAAAAUGUGCCCAUGCUGAACAUGUACAGACUUUCCUUCUCAUUGUUCUCUAAACAAUAUAGUGUAACAACUAUUUACAUAGCAUUUACUUUGCAUUAGCUAUUAUAAGUAAUCUAGUGACGAUUUAAAGGAUGCAGGAGGGUGUGCAUAGGUUACAGGCAAAUACUCCCAACAUCCUUAGAUUUUGGUCCGUGGGAGGUUCUGGAACCAGUCCCCCACAGAUACCAAGGGACAGUCGUAUUUACAGAUGACCAGUAGGCACAUGAAAAGAUGCUCAAAAUCACUGACCAUUAGAGAAAUGCGAACCACAGUCACAAUGAGAUGAUCACUCCAUACUCAUGAGGAUGGCUAUGAUGAAAAACAGCAUGGAGUUAGGAUGGCUGUGAUGAAAACAGCAUGGAGGUUUUCCUCAGAGUUAGCAUGUGAUCCAGGAAUCCCACCUGUACGUAUUUACCCAAAGAAUUGAAAGCAAAGUCUAAAGAGCCACUUGCACACCAUGUUCACAGCUGCACUGUUCACAGUAGCCAAGAGGCAGAAACAACAUAGCGUCAAUCAACAGAUGAAUGGACAAGCCAGGUGGCCUGUGAGAUGGGAUAUUAUUAAGCCUUAAAAAGGAAUGAAGGCCAGGCACAGUGUCUCAUGCCUGUAAUCCCAGCACUUUGGGAGGCCGAGGUGGGUGGAUCACGAGGUCAGGAGAUCGAGACCAUCCUGGCUAACAUGGUGAAACCCCAUCUCUACUAAAAAUACAAAGAAUUAGCCGGGUGUGGUGGUGGGCACCUGUAGUCCCAGCUACUCCGGAGGCUGAGGCAGGAGAAUGGUGUGAACUGGGAGGCGGAGCUUGCGGUGAGCCGAGAUCGCGCCACUGCACUCCAGCCUUGGCGACAGAGCAAGACUCCAUCUCCAAAAAAAAAAAGGAAUGAAAUUCUGACCCAUGCUACAACAUGGGUGAACCUUGAAGAAACUAUGCCAAGUGAAAUAAGCCAGCUGCGAAAAGGCAAAUACUGUCUUUUUUUUUUUUUCUUUUGAGACAGAGUCUUGCUCUGUUGCCAAGCUGGAGUGCAGUGGCAUGAUCUUGGCUGUGCAAUACCGUCUUAUUCCCCUUCUGUGAGAUGCCUAAAGUCAAAUUUAUAGAAACAGAAAACAAAAUGGUAGUUACCAGGGCUGGGGGCAGGGUGGGCAGUUGUUUGAUGGGUACAGAGUUUUAGUUUUGCAAGAUAAAAAAAAUUCAGACCAAUAUGAAUAAACAAUGCUACUAAAGUGUACACUUAAAAACAGUUAAUAUGGUAAAUUUUAUGUAUUUUUUAACCACAAUUAAAAUGUAUUAUUAUUUUUUAUUGAGAUGGAAUCUUGCUCUGUUGCCCAGGGUGGAGUGCGGUGGUGCAAUCUCGGCUCACUGCAACCCCCAUCUCUCGGGUUCAAGCAGUUCUCCUGCCUCAGCCUCCUGAAUAGAUGGGACUACGGGCACCCACCACCAUGCCCGGCUAAUUUUUGUAUUUUCAGUAGAGAUGGGAUUUCACCAUGUUGGCCAGGCUGGUCUCAAACUCCUGGGUUCAAGUGAUCCACGCAUCUUGGCCUCCCAAAGUGCUGGGAUAACAGGCGUGAGCCACCACACCCGGCCUGGAGUUAACAUUUAAAAAGUGUAAGAGGCCUCUACUGGAAUUAGAUGAUUAUUUUUCAGACUUAUUUUUAGAGAUCACUUUGCAGAGUUCUGCUUAAUUUGUGGCAUAAUAGAAUAAAUAUUCCGAUUUCUGAACUAAAUAAUCUGAGAAUGUACUCAUUUCAUAAUGUGAACCAGAAUUGCUUGAGAAGCACAGAGGUAAUGGGAAUUAAGUACAUUUAAAAAAGCAAAUUCCAGGUCUAUUUAGAUGCUCUUUAAAGACCAUUGCCUGUGACACCUGUUUCUAAAAGUUAAUAAUCUCUAGGCCAAAAAAGAAAAGAAAAUGAAAUGUUAACCAGUUUUUACUCCCCUUGAUGACUUUCUUUUUUCCUUUUUUUACUUUCCUUUGUGAUUUCUUUGUGAGUUCUUCCUAACUUCCCAUUCAGGCCAAAAUCAUGAACAGCUUUAGAUGUUGGUUACACUGUGAAUCUUAACACUGAGAACCCACUUACCUUGCUAAGCAUCUCUGCAGAGGCAAGGAUGGUGCUUAUUGUCGGGGGCAGAUGACACUUUGCCAGCUGCUGUACCAAGUGCAUUGCAGAGCCUGGUCUCAUUUCAUCUGCACCAUGACUCACUGAGGUAGCUACGGUUUCCAGCUUACAGAUAAGAGAGGAAAGCGAGGCCUGCGGAGGUUUGGGUGCUCAGCUGCACAGCCAGGAGCGGGCAGGACUGGCAUCUGGAAGCCAGGUGGCUGACUGCAGACCCUGCUCCCGUUACCUCCGCUAGACGUCUUUGUGAUCUCAGCUGAUGAAGGGGCCGUACUCCAGGGCCGUCAAAACGAAACGGGACAGCUUUUUCGAUAAAUACAAUUUAUCUGAAUAAUGUAGGAAAUACAGAAUAUAGUUGAUGUUUUGUUUGGUGUUUUAUUUUUGCCCUCCUUACAAGAGGACUGGCAGGAAGGGGACGGAGGCCGCUAGACUGGUCUGACUUCAGGGGCAGGUGAGAAUGAUGCCUUGGGCUGGGCUCACCGUGCCUAAGUGUGCAGUACAGAGAAGGCAAGGCUCUAGGGAGGUGAGGGCAGGCUGGCGGGUGGACGCAGCUCCCUGCUUCCUGCGUUUCACAGAGCCCAGCUGGCCCCUGGUCCUGAUGCCAUUUGAAGGAAAAUGUCAGGAGCCAGAUCAGGGCAGCAAGGAGUGGAGGCUCCUUUCAUUCCUCCAUACCCACUAGCUGUCACAUAAGGCAACAGUUCUGCCCCCUCAGGGAGCUGCCUCACUCAGGCUCACGUUCAGGUUCCGAGCUUUGAACUUCAGUCAGUGUGCCAGCUGUCUGCUGAAUUUCAGUCUCAACAUACGAGGAAUGGAAGGAAAUUUCUUUAGCUUGAUAAACAGCCUCUACAAAAAACCUGUAGCUGACAUCAGACUCAAUGCUUGAAGAUGGGAGGCCUUCGCCUAAAAUCAGGAAUAAAACAAGAGCGGCUUGCCCCUUCUAGGUAAUUGUGUACAGAAGGCUCUAGCCAGGGCAGUUAGUCAAGAAAAAAAGCAUCCAAUUCAAAAGAAAGGUAUAAAACAAUCUCUAGAGAUUGUUGAAGAUGGCUUAAUCUUUUAUGUAAAAAAAGCCUAUGGCAGGGCACAAUGGCUCACACCUAUGAUCCCAGUGCUUUGGGAGGCCAAGGUGAGAGGACUGCUUGAGCCCAGGAGUUCAAGGCCAGCCAGGGCAACACAGUGAGACCCCAUCUCUACAAAACAAACAAACAAACAACCUAUGGAAUCUUUUUUUUUUGAGACGAGUUUUGCUCUUGUUACCCAGGCUGGAGUGCAGUGGCGCGUUCUCAGCUCACUGUAACCUCUACCUCCUGGGUUCAAGCAAUUCUCCUGCCUCAGCCUCCCGAGUAGCUGGGAUUACAGGCACCCGCCACCACACCUGGCUAAUUUUUGUAUUUUUGGUAGAGACAGGGUUUCACCAUGUUGGCCAGGCUGGUCUGCAACUCCUGACCUCAGGUGAUCUGCCCACCUUGGCCUCCCAAAGUGCUGGGAUUACAGGCAUGAGCCACCGCGCCCGGCUGGAAUUCAUUUUAAAAACCUUAGAAAAACCAUGUUUAGCAAUGUUGCAGGAUAUAAAUUGUGUUUCUAUAUACCAGCAAUGAGAAAGCCA
Molecule: long non-coding RNA, 6397 nt
Filed under: Homo sapiens (human)
Lineage: Eukaryota; Metazoa; Chordata; Mammalia; Primates; Hominidae
Description: non-protein coding lnc-PQLC1-104:9
Source: RNAcentral